UACGGAGGUUGCAAGCGUUGUUCGGAUUAACUGGGCGUAAAGGGAGCGCAGGCGGUUUGGUCAGUCUGAAGUGGAAGCCCGGGGCUCAACCUCGGAAGCGCUUUGGAUACUGCCAAACUUGAGUUCGUGAGAGGAGAGUGGAAUUCCAGGUGUAGCGGUGAAAUGCGUAGAUAUCUGGAGGAACAUCUGUGGCGAAAGCGGCUCUCUGGCACGAUACUGACGCUGAGGCUCGAAAGCGUGGGGAGCGAACAGG
RNAcentral lists this ribosomal RNA (253 nucleotides) under uncultured bacterium. Its description in RNAcentral is "partial 16S ribosomal RNA". It matches the Rfam family "Bacterial small subunit ribosomal RNA", at positions 524 to 776 of the family's 1533-position model. The record is from RNAcentral.